AGUGAACGCUGGCGGUAGGCCUAACACAUGCAAGUCGAACGGCAGCACAGUAAGAGCUUGCUCUUACGGGUGGCGAGUGGCGGACGGGUGAGGAAUACAUCGGAAUCUACUUUUUCGUGGGGGAUAACGUAGGGAAACUUACGCUAAUACCGCAUACGACCUACGGGUGAAAGCAGGGGAUCUUCGGACCUUGCGCGAUUGAAUGAGCCGAUGUCGGAUUAGCUAGUUGGCGGGGUAAAGGCCCACCAAGGCGACGAUCCGUAGCUGGUCAGAGAGGAUGAUCAGCCACACUGGAACUGAGACACGGUCCAGACUCCUACGGGAGGCCGCAGUGGGGAAUAUUGGACAAAGGGCGCAAGCCUGAUCCAGCCAUACCGCGUGGAUGAAGAAGGCCUUCGGGUUGUAAAGCCCUUUUGUUGGUAAAGAAAAGCAGCAGGUUAAUACCCCGCUGUUCUGACGGUACCCAAAGAAUAAGCACCGGCUAACUUCGUG
RNAcentral lists this ribosomal RNA (492 nucleotides) under uncultured bacterium. RNAcentral's name for it is "partial 16S ribosomal RNA". It matches the Rfam family "Bacterial small subunit ribosomal RNA", at positions 29 to 507 of the family's 1533-position model. The record is from RNAcentral.